GAGGAGGAGGAGGAGGAAGAAGAAGAAGAAAACCACGUGACCAGAGAGUCGAAGAACAACGCGAACAAAUCCUUAGAAAGAGAGAGAAAAAAAGAGUGAGAGAGAGAGAAAGAGAGAGAGAGAGAGAGAGAGAGAGAGUAAAAAAAAAGAGAGAUAAGAGAGAGAAAGAAAGAAAGAAAGAAAGAGAGCUAGCUUCGUAUUCUCCAGACGACGAGAAGAGCUCACAGCUGGCAAGAAGGAUUAGAGGAAGAGUUACUGUGAGAUCAAAGGAAGAAAAGAGAAGGAGAAGGAUAAUCUAGUGAUAUAUGUACGAUCGAUAAAAAAAAGAAACCGUCAGUAAUACGUACGUACGGAUCUUUGAUCGAUCGAUCGAUCGAUCGAUCGGUCGGUCUAUUGGUAACACGAACAAUGUGUUUUGUGUGUUGAUUGUUAUAUCGUUGUUUAUUGGUUACGUGCGUGGUUUAAAGAGAUACUGUGCGUGCGGUGUGUGUGUGUGUGUGUGUGUGUGUGUGUGUGUCUGUGGUAUGACACGUUGAAGAAGCACAGCGAAUACAGUGAUUGGAGUGAUAUGAUCCGAGUAUUUGUGAAAAUGAAUGUAUUUAAAGGAUUAAAAAUAGGAUAGAAAACAGUUUAUAUAUAUAUAUAUAUAUAUACACACACACAAGCGACGUACACGUACACGUAUCACACACAUACACGCAUACACACGUGUAUAUAUUUAUACGUAAAUCUCUAACAUCAUCGCGUCCUCUAUUAGUGUUUUUAUUAUUGUUGUUAUAAUAAUAAUAAUAAUAGUAUUGUUAUUAACGAGAAAGAGAUCCCUCUCUCUCUCUCUCUCUCUCUUUCUUUCAUACAUGUACACAUAUACACACACGUAUAUACUUCUUACAAACUUCAUCCUCACGAGAUCGUAUAUCAGAGUCUGAAGAGAGAUCGAAAUGGGAGUGGUACUGAUGCUGCUGCUGUUGCUGGUGCGCGGAUUCGUUCGAGGUUAACCGAUCACUCGGUGCCUUCUCGCGCCUGGCUGCUACUCUCGAGUGGAUCCUCUCGAAGGGUAAUUAGUCGUUGGACGUACGAGAAGAGCUACUACUCCCCUUCUGCAUCGUCACAUGUCCUUCUUUAUCGUCAUGCUGACCUUCACGUUGUUGUUACUCUUCCUGCUACUUGGCCGUCCGGUCGCCCGUGCGGAUAACUUGGCCCUGUUGGCAGGCACCCUGAAGACCUAUCAGCGUGCAGCCUGCGACGAGGAAACGAUGACGCUCAAGUGUCCACCCGGCACGACGAUAUCAGUCGCGCUCGCACGCUAUGGGAGAGCUGUUGCGAAUGGACCAGGAAGAUGCGGCAUCUCUUCCGACGUUUCAUCUAAUUUUGCUAUCGAUCAUCAUCAACAAACCAACGACACGUGCUUAUUGCCAGACUCUUUACAGUACUCACUGUUGCAGACGGUCGUCGAGAUGUGUCAGAAGAAGAGGCAGUGUAAAUUCAACACGAAUCCGAAGACUUUCCAAGGAGAUCCGUGUCCUGGUCUUCCAAAGUACGUCGAGGUCGCUUACAAGUGCAGUCCUUACGAAUUCAGGAGUAAGGUGGUUUGCGAGAACGACGUUAUUAAUCUCACCUGUCACCCCGGACAGAGAGUGGCCAUUUUCCGUGCGUCCUUCGGCAGACUGGAGUACGAGUCCCUUCAGUGUCCACAACCUCACGGACUGAAAAACGAUACCUGUAUGGCGACGUACGCGACAGAGACAGUAAUGCAAAUGUGCCAUGGCAAACGACAUUGUUCCAUCGUGGCGAACAGCACGACGUUUAACGACCCUUGCAGACCGGACAUCAGGACGUAUCUCACGGUCGUUUAUACCUGUGUACCACGUUCGGUCUUGAGGGAGCAGUAUCAGGGCGAUCUAGAAUCGGACGAGAUGAAUCUAACGCAUAGGAUCGACGAGGGCUUCGACAGAGUCGAUUUCAGAGCGGAAUUCAGUCCAAGUCCAAAUCUCGAAGGACCACAGCCUCAACCAAGGGACAACGUUUCGCGAAAUUUCCCGACGGUCAGUUCAUCGCCACCACGUGCAAGGACCAACAACGACGUGGACAACGCGUUGAACAAAUUAGGCUCGGUUGGUAAAGAGGCGAAAGGUACCAAAGAAAAAGACUUGUCCUUAUCGGCCGUGGUAACCACGGGAAUGAUAUUUGGCGGCAACAGGGGUGGUAAUAGUAGUGCCCUACCUACGACGGUAUCACCGUCUAACUGCACGACGGUCGUCUACGCGGUUCCCGACGAGGAUCGUAUGGUUGUCGGAUAUCUCAAUGAAUGGAUCAAUGCCUACUCGUUCAUAUCAAACAAUCAAGAGAAAUUUUAUCUCUACAUCAUCGUAUCGGUCACUGGUGGCAUCCUCGUAUUUUUGGGCUUGGUGAUCGGCAGACUUCUUUUGAGUCGUCAUCGCGCGAAACGAGAUGCUAAGUUCCAUGCAAAUAACGAGGCACUUCCAAAUGCAUUUACGGACAACAUCUCCGAGGUCGACGCGAACAUCGAUCUCACUACUCCGGUUCCGGUCCCGAUGCAGGACACCAGAAUACCGGAGACCCAAUUGGCCGAGAGACUUCACGGUGAGCGUUAUUACACCGAUACGAGGAUACCAUUGUCACCUAGCAGCAUUCACACUGCCCCAAGUCAUCAUGCAACGAGCACGGGUGUCAGGGUCGAUCUGGGUAACCACAUGGUGGGCACGGAUAGCCUUCACACGAUCUUACGCGCAGAAAAUCCACGAAGCCUCAACACCAAAAGCUACUACUACGGCUGACACGAGGAAGGGGUUGUCCCCCGCGAGGGACGACCCCCGUCCUUGAGUCCCGUGCCGGAAAAUGGAGUUUAUGCGAAAGCAUCGUAGGAAGAAUCGUUUGAAUAGGAAGCACGAAGAACGUAUCAAUGCGUUUCCCUUGAGUAUCGAAACGAAAAGAUGGAAAAAUCGAUAAAGUCGUUUCACCUUCUUCCCCGACUAACACGCAACAACUGCUUCUGUACCUUUGAUGAAACUCGAUUUAUACGUAUGCACUGAAAACGAUAUAUCCUAUCGUGAGUUCGAAUUUCAGAAGAAGGAAUUCGAAAAUAUCCGAGUAACGAGAUCGCACAUACAUAUAUAGAUACAUACUUACAUACAUACAUACAUAGACAUUCAUACAUAGACGAUCUUCACGAGAAUCAUCGAACUAAGUUAUACUUCUCGCUGAAACUUCCUAAUAAUUGCGAAUCGAUCGAAGCCAGACCAGACACAAGGAUUAAUACUCGAAGAAAAAGUGGUCCAAUCAAAAGCAGAGAUAGAUAGAGAGAGAGAGAGAGGGAGAGAGAGAGAGAGAGAGAGAGGGAGAGAGAGAGAGAGAGAGAAAGAGGGAGAGGGAGAGAGAGAAGUCAAGCUCGAGGAUUUCGACGAGAUUACAGCGGUCUUGUGUAAUGAGACUUUCUUACACCGUUUCUCACAGCUACCGUGUCGCGAGAUGACUUUUAUAAUAGAAAAUAAUGUAAUAUGUAUAUCACGUUGUAAAUACGAUCGUGUAAUUUACGAUUAUCUCUUAAGGGAGUUACGUAUUAACGGACGGACCAUAGUUACAAAUAUAUUCUCCGUACCAUCGAAAUCGAUUUUCUAAAGAAAUGCGCCGCGAUUACUAUAAUACUAGUUUUCGCGAUCAUAAAAAUGAAUAUAAAGGAAUAAAAGAAUAAAAGAAAAGAAAAGAAAUGAAAAGAACAGAAAAAAGAAAAUUAAUAAGUAAAUAAAUAAAUAAAUAAAUAAAUAAAUAAGUAAAUAAAUGAAGAAAUAAAUUAAUAAAUAAAUAAAUAAAUAAAUAAAUACGGUUUAUUGAUAGAGAUUAAAUAAAAUAUGCUCGUUAACUCGUAUAGCUGUCGUCCGUAUCUUGUUCGAGAUAAAAGAGAAUAAUAGAACGCGUUUCCAAGAACACGACGAUCAUCGAGUCUCUCGAAUCGAGUCCUGAAUCGACUUCUUUUUAAAACUUCUACGUUAAGAUCCCUAUCGCGAAAAGAUACGAAGGUUCUGUCUUGAGCUCACGAACCUCGAUAUCGAACGACGAUUUUUAUUAUGAUCAUAAUAAUAAUUUCCCUUACGCUUUUAUACGUGAACGCUCGCGAGUCCUGUCGUAACUUUUAUCGACAUUAUGUAAUCGCAUCAAGGUUAAAUCGAUAGAAAUACCUCUCUCCUUUAUUUCUAACCCAAAAAUGACGGUAUUUUUGCGUCGUCGUCGUCGUCGUCGUAAUCGUCCUCGUCGUCGUCGUUGUCGUCGUUGUCGUUGUCGUUCAUUGCUCGAAAAUCUCGAAAAACACGUUCAAGCGUUUAUCGUCACCGAACUCGUAAAAUAAUCGAUUAAUCGAUAUAUAUAUAUAUAUAUAUAUAUAUAUAUAUAUAUAUAUAUAUGUAUAUGUAUAUGUAUAUGUAUAUGGAUAUGUACAUACGUAAAUCCUAUCGAUAUCAUCACUCCCUAUAUCUUCUUCCAAAUUUCAAAGAAUAUUUCAUGAUAAUAGAAAUAUUUCAAAUUACAUCAGAGAAGAAAUAUAGGGGUUGACAGUGCCAUCUUGAUUAGAAACCACGUCGGAAUAAUCCGUCAGGCUACUGUUUUUAAUUGGCCCGGACUAAUUAAGACGCUGCUCGGGUCGCGUCUACCGCGCUAGUCGCGAAAAAGAGAAUUUUAAUUGCCAGUAGAACACCGUUACUUCUUCUUCUUUCCUUCCACUUCUUCCAUUCGCUUCUUUUUUCUCGACUCUAUUUUCCUUUUCUCUGUUUAUCUCUCUCUCUCUCUCUCUCUCUCUCUCUCUCUCUCUCUCUCUCUCUCUCUCUCUCUCUCUCUCUCUCUCUCUCUCUCUCUCUCUCUCUCUCUCUCUCUGUUUCUAUCUCUUUUUUUUUACUCUCACCUACUCUGUUAUUUCUUUGUAUUUUCUUUUUCUUUUGCUCCAUAUCGUUUCCUAUUUGUUUACUCAUGCGUCGUUGAUUCCCAUGCGAUUGUUUUUCUAUCAUAUAUGUUUCUAUAUUUUUAUUAUAUUUCUUCGUUCCAAUAUCUAAAAUAACGUAAGUACUUAUUUAUUUACUUAGACAAUGGUAGCAAUAAUUAGGUAACAUCUAUUCACACGAAUUUUGUGCCUUUUUCGAAGUAUCACAAAAGCAUUCAUUAAAAUUAUUCACCGGUCAACAAGAUUCUUUAUACCGUAUUUCCUUAUACACACAGACAGACACACGCGUGCAUACAUAUACACACGCACAUGUAUAUAUAUAUAUUAUGUACAUAUAUAUGUGUAUAUUGGGUGUUCAAUGUUAAAUCGAUCUAUGCGAAUGUCUCUAGAAAUUAGAAAAUAGUAUCAAUAUCAUCGAUAUACAAUCAUACUUUUCUCUAUAUAAUAAAAUAAGAUAGAUAGACAAAUUAUUGAUACUAUUAACAAUUUCUAUAACAAUCGCACGAUUCGAUUCGAUAUUUCACACCCCUGUACCCAUAUAGUUACUUCUUGAAUAAUGACGAACAUAUGGAUUUUGUGCCUUUUCCGAAGUAUUAUUCUAAAACGAUAUCAUUUCUAAAACUGUUCAUUCAAGAUAAUAUCACGUAUUUUACAGACAUAAACGCGUCAAAAAUGAAAUAGUAAAAAAAAAAAAACGGUAUUGAUUCUUAUUGUCGAUUAAUAUGUUCGAUUGAUUGCUAGAUCGAAAUAUAGGUUGGACACAUGUGUGCAUAUAGGUACUCAUUCUAUCUAUUUAUCUAUCUAUUUGAGUUCUAUCGUUCUUUUACUUUUCCUCGUUUUUCUUCUCCUCUCCUCUUUUCCACGAACGAGAUAUAACAAUGAUAAAACAAAAAUAGGAAGACGAUAAAAAUGAUGAAGAAUAAGAAGAAUAAGAAGAAGAAGCAAAAGAAGAAGAAGAAGAAGAAGAAGAAGAAGAAGAAGAAAAAUAAAAAAGAUGCAUUUCUUGUCGCAUACGAAUGACGAGUUAUCGAGUGCAAAUUGUACCAAAGACCUUCUAUUAAUUAAAAAUAUCAUCGUUCGACGAGGUUCGAGAAAUUGUCUUACGAGUAAUAAUAUCGUAUCGAGGUUGACCUCCUCGAAACGGAGUGCCUGAUAUAUAACAUUCAACGAGAAACAUACGUGAAUGUGGUACGUACACGUAGCCACCUCGAUGACAAUUAAGGUUCGAUUGAUUUCUAUUUUAUUAGAUGAAUUUCUCUCCGAUAACUGUUGUUUUCCAAUUCAUUAUUUGUCCUUCCUUAUUUCGAUCUUGGAAAUGUAUCUGUUAUUUCGAAUACACCAAAAUAUUCAACGAUCGUUCGUAUGUGAUUUCGUUAUUAAUUCUUCAUUUCCUUUAUGUUUUUUUUUUUCUUUUUUUUGUAUUGUUCUCUUAUCAUGGGAUAAUUUUUGUAAGUUGGUAUGGCUCGUGUGUACCACCAUGAUGCUUCGCGUUAUAUCAUACACAGGUUUCUUUCUUAUCUCUUUUUUGUACGGAUAUAAGAAUGUAAGAAUGAAUGGGAUAAGUGAUAAGACGAAUGUGUGCGCGUGUGUGUCUAUUGUGUGGAUAACAACUUUAUUUGUUAGAUCGAUUAAGACCCUUACGGGAAUAAGUAUAUAGGAAGUUAGAUAGAUGGGUAGAUAAUAUUAGUGAUAUGGGAUAUGUGAAAUAGCGACGAUUGAAGUGUGUGUCUGUAAGAGAGAGAUGGAGAGAGAGAGAGAAAGAGAGAGAGGGAGGGAGGGAGAGAGAGAGAGAGAGAGAGAGAGAGAGAGAGAGAAAGAACGAAUGUAUGCGUGUAAAAGAGAAGAAAAUAAAGAUACCUAUGUCGUAAGUGAUAGUUUCUAUUGUAACUAAGAAGACGUACGUUAUUGAGCAUCUGUAAAUAUUCCUGUAUUAUAAAAAUAACUUUCUGUCCAGCGACCGUAUAUCAACGACCUCGACCAUCUUUGAACGUAUCCUUUUUCCUCUAUCUCUCUCUUUCUCUCUCCCUCCCUCUCUCCCUCUCCCUUCCUCUGUAUCUCUCUUUCUGUGUUUCUCUAAUUGUAUACUUUCCAAAAGAAAAAAUCGUCGAGGUUGUCGGAACACGGUUUUUUUCGCGUGUAAAAUAAAAAAAUAAAAAAAAAGAAACGUGCGGCCCGAUUAUUAAUAAUAAUAAUAAUAAUUAUUAUUAUUAUUAUUCUUUCUUAAGCGAUAUUCACAAAUAAUUUGUAUUUCCAUUGAAUCACAUUGUCAUCGUCGUUCGAAAGAAAAAUCGAGGAGAUAUUUCAUUUCCUUCGUCAAAUGAUACGAACGAACGCUUGAUGCGUCGAAGACAAAAAUCCCAUGACCGUGAUUACUUGAUUAUUUAAAAAAAGAAAAAAAACGAACACGAAUAAACAAACAAAAACAAAACGAAGCGGGCCUGUGUGUUGUACGAUAAUGUAAUAACUGUCCUCCACGUGAUUUUCAAGGAUAAUAUAAUAAAUUAUGACACAAUUCGAGCACA
Vespula vulgaris is the source of this 7467-nucleotide RNA transcript. It is a transcript of the gene named protein eva-1, with no coding region annotated. Lineage: Eukaryota; Metazoa; Arthropoda; Insecta; Hymenoptera; Vespidae. The record is from RefSeq and is a predicted model, not a curated record. The transcript has 10 exons.